Molecule: ribosomal RNA, 459 nt
Filed under: uncultured bacterium
Lineage: Bacteria
Description: bacterial SSU rRNA
Rfam family: Bacterial small subunit ribosomal RNA
Source: RNAcentral
UACGGGAGGCAGCAGUGGGGAAUAUUGCACAAUGGGCGCAAGCCUGAUGCAGCCAUGCCGCGUGUAUGAAGAAGGCCUUCGGGUUGUAAAGUACUUUCAGCAGUGAGGAAGUGGGUAUGUUAAUAGCAUACUCAUUUGACGUUAGCUGCAGAAGAAGCACCGGCUAACUCCGUGCCAGCAGCCGCGGUAAUACGGAGGGUGCGAGCGUUAAUCGGAAUUACUGGGCGUAAAGCGCAUGCAGGUGGUUUGUUAAGUCAGAUGUGAAAGCCCGGGGCUCAACCUCGGAAUUGCAUUUGAAACUGGCAAACUAGAGUACUGUAGAGGGGGUAGAAUUUCAGGUGUAGCGGUGAAAUGCGUAGAGAUCUGAAGGAAUACCGGUGGCGAAGGCGGCCCCCUGGACAGAUACUGACACUCAGAUGCGAAAGCGUGGGGAGCAAACAGGAUUAGAUACCCUGGUAG